This 775-nucleotide ribosomal RNA is filed under the name uncultured Neocallimastigales. RNAcentral describes it as "partial large subunit ribosomal RNA". It matches the Rfam family "Eukaryotic large subunit ribosomal RNA", at positions 15 to 616 of the family's 3401-position model. Lineage: Eukaryota; Fungi; Neocallimastigomycota; Neocallimastigomycetes; Neocallimastigales. The record is from RNAcentral.
GUCAGACGAUGCGUCAUGCAUAUCAAUAAGCGGAGGAAAAGAAACUAACAAGGAUUCCCCUAGUAACGGCGAGUGAAGCGGGAAGAGCUCAAAUUUGAAAUCUUAAAGGGUUUCCCUUUACGAAUUGUAGUUUAAAGAAGUGUUUUCUGUUGAGGUUUUGGUAAAAGUUCUUUGGAAUAGGACAUCAUAGAGGGUGAGAAUCCCGUAUUUGACCUUUACUUUCAACUUUGUGAUACACUUUCAAAGAGUCGGAUUGUUUGGGAAUGCAGUCCAAAAUGGGUGGUAAAUUUCAUCUAAAGCUAAAUAUUGGCGAGAGACCGAUAGCGAACAAGUACCGUGAGGGAAAGAUGAAAAGAACUUUGAAAAGAGAGUUAAACAGUACGUGAAAUUGUCAAAAGGGAAGCGUUUGACACCAGUGUUGUUUUUCUGAAAAUCAAUUAAAGAACUGUUUAUGCUAGGUUGUUUAGACUUUAUCAGCUAACUGUUUAGUUUUGAGCUUUUCUUUAAUGCACUUUUCAGUUAACAAGUCAACAUCAAUUUCUUUUGCUGUAAAAAAGCUUGAGGAAGGUGGCUUGAGAUUCGUCUUAAGUGUUUAUAGCCUCUUGCCUAUGCAGUCGGAGAGAUUGAGGUCUGCAGCGUAGAUCCUUCGGGGCUAAAUGCAUUUGUGCUAAGUUAUAGCAUUUUAUAGACAACUUGUUGACUAUGAUUUGUCUUGUAGCUUACUCGCUUAUGUUAUUUUACCUACGCUUAGGAUGUUGAGCGCAUGUCUCUCUCU